UAGUUUCAGCUACGCAUAAUUAUUUAAAGUUUAUUUGGAUUUUGAACGGGCUAAUAAGCGAUACAUUAUUUUCUAUAAAUUUGUUAGUCUUAUUGAUCUGCAGUUUGGAAGAAGCUGCAAAAUUUCAACCAAGAAAAUGAAGAGUUUAGCUUUAAUACUUCUUAGCUACGCGUAUUUCCUAGUUUCGAAUGCUCUAUCCUUUGAUCCCCGCUGUUUUGCAACACCGAGUCUAAAUGAUGAUGUGCAGAAACCGAAAAUGAAAAGGCAAUGGUAUUUCAAUUUUGAAAAGAAUAUGUGCAUUUCGUUCAAUUGGAAUGCCACUUUGCCAAGUGGCGUCGAAAAUCGUUUUCCAACAAAAUCCGACUGCUUGCAAAGGUGCAAGUACUAGUCAAAAUCGGUAUUAUAAAUACAAUAUUUAUUAAAUAUAUAAUAUAAUUUAUAAAUUAGAAUUUAUAAUACAUGUGCCCGUCAUUCAAGAAAA
Long non-coding RNA from Drosophila mojavensis, 481 nucleotides. RefSeq lists it as uncharacterized. NCBI's taxonomy places the organism in Eukaryota, Metazoa, Arthropoda, Insecta, Diptera, Drosophilidae. The transcript is spliced from 2 exons. The record is from RefSeq and is a predicted model, not a curated record.